RNAcentral lists this ribosomal RNA (253 nucleotides) under uncultured bacterium. RNAcentral describes it as "partial 16S ribosomal RNA". It matches the Rfam family "Bacterial small subunit ribosomal RNA", at positions 524 to 776 of the family's 1533-position model. The record is from RNAcentral.
UACGAAGGGGGCUAGCGUUGUUCGGAAUCACUGGGCGUAAAGCGCACGUAGGCGGACCUUUAAGUCAGGGGUGAAAUCCCGAGGCUCAACCUCGGAACUGCCUUUGAUACUGGGGAUCUCGAGUCCGGGAGAGGUGAGUGGAACUGCGAGUGUAGAGGUGAAAUUCGUAGAUAUUCGCAAGAACACCAGUGGCGAAGGCGGCUCACUGGCCCGGAACUGACGCUGAUGCGCGAAAGCGUGGGGAGCAAACGGG